AUGUCCUCAGCGAAGGAGCGCCCGGGUCAUGGACCUGCCCACCCGACGACGGCCACCCCAGCCAUCCGUCCGCCAGCUCCAAAGUCCCCACAGAUUCAUCCCGUCCCGCUCCCCGGCAUCCCGACGAGACGCUCGAGGAGCCGUCCCCCAUCGAUCUGUCGAGCUUGGGCGGAGAUUCAGAGUCGUCUCCGGUUCACAAUCACUGGGACGACGGCAUCCCCGUACGCGGCAGCGAUUCUGAUUACGAUCCGCCGGAAGCGGACGCCGACGGUGAGGUGCCGGACUGCCCGGGGUGGAAGUCCGACGAGGAAAAAGCAACGAAAGUAG
This 327-nucleotide ribosomal RNA is filed under the name Triticum aestivum (bread wheat). RNAcentral describes it as "partial small subunit ribosomal RNA". Lineage: Eukaryota; Viridiplantae; Streptophyta; Magnoliopsida; Poales; Poaceae. The record is from RNAcentral.